This 253-nucleotide ribosomal RNA is filed under the name uncultured bacterium. Its description in RNAcentral is "partial 16S ribosomal RNA". It matches the Rfam family "Bacterial small subunit ribosomal RNA", at positions 524 to 776 of the family's 1533-position model. The record is from RNAcentral.
UACGUAGGGUGCGAGCGUUGUCCGGAAUUACUGGGCGUAAAGAGCUCGUAGGUGGUUUGUCGCGUUGUUCGUGAAAACUCACAGCUUAACUGUGGGCGUGCGGGCGAUACGGGCAGACUGGAGUACUGCAGGGGAGACUGGAAUUCCUGGUGUAGCGGUGGAAUGCGCAGAUAUCAGGAGGAACACCGGUGGCGAAGGCGGGUCUCUGGGCAGUAACUGACGCUGAGGAACGAAAGCGUGGGUAGCGAACAGG